Molecule: non-coding RNA, 74 nt
Organism: Omnitrophica WOR_2 bacterium
Lineage: Bacteria; Pseudomonadati; Candidatus Omnitrophota
Source: Rfam
CGGAGCGUAGCGCAGUUGGCUAGCGCACUUGUAUGGGGUACAAGAGGUCCUGGGUUCAAAUCCCAGCGCUCCGA